UGAUUGACUUGAUUGCAGCCGGUCCAGUUAAAAGGAAAAAAUGGCCAGCCCAAUCACCUAUACAGACACACUGACAUCUAUUAAAAAUAUUGACAGAAUUAACCAAUUAAUUUAAUUUACAGAAGUAAGAAUAAAUCCUAAAUUCUUGUCGAAAUUUUGAUAGAGUCUCUCUUAUAACUGGACCUAACUCCCUACAAAAAAACUCAGCAAAAAGCAAUACAUAGGGCCUCAGGCCCACAACAAUAAUAUCACAUGCCCAUCCGGGGCCUACAAGAUCCUAAUCUAAGUCCAAUUAUGCAAACUCUAAUUCAAGUUCCAAACCCCUCUACAAUGCAAACAAUUAUUUUAAGCACUUUAAAAAUUAUAAAAAUA
Molecule: unclassified non-coding RNA, 372 nt
Filed under: Hevea brasiliensis (rubber tree)
Lineage: Eukaryota; Viridiplantae; Streptophyta; Magnoliopsida; Malpighiales; Euphorbiaceae
Source: RNAcentral